AGUGUACGCUGGCGGCAGGCCUAACACAUGCAAGUCGAACGGCAGCACAAGAGAGCUUGCUCUCUGGGUGGCGAGUGGCGGACGGGUGAGGAAUGCAUCGGAAUCUGCCCAUUUGUGGGGGAUAACCUCGGGAAACCGGGACUAAUACCGCAUACGACCUACGGGUGAAAGCAGGGGAUCUUCGGACCUUGCGCAGAUGGAUGAGCCGAUGCCGGAUUAGCUAGUUGGAGGGGUAAAGGCCCACCAAGGCGACGAUCCGUAGCUGGUCUGAGAGGAUGAUCAGCCACACUGGGACUGAGACACGGCCCAGACUCCUACGGGAGGCAGCAGUGGGGAAUAUUGGACAAUGGGCGCAAGCCUGAUCCAGCCAUGCCGCGUGUGUGAAGAAGGCCUUCGGGUUGUAAAGCACUUUUGUUGGGAAAGAAAAGCAGCCGGUUAAUACCCGGUUGUCAUGACGGUACCCAAAGAAUAAGCACCGGCUAACUUCGUG
Molecule: ribosomal RNA, 490 nt
Filed under: uncultured bacterium
Lineage: Bacteria
Description: partial 16S ribosomal RNA
Rfam family: Bacterial small subunit ribosomal RNA
Source: RNAcentral